This 1137-nucleotide long non-coding RNA is filed under the name Nicotiana benthamiana. RNAcentral's name for it is "long non-coding RNA (NBEN_LNC017657)". Lineage: Eukaryota; Viridiplantae; Streptophyta; Magnoliopsida; Solanales; Solanaceae. The record is from RNAcentral.
UGAGAAUGCAGAAAUUCAAGAAUUCCUAUGCACAAGUUAUAUACAUGAAUGUAGUAACCUAUAGGCAUGCUGUCUGUGCGAAUAUAAGAAUCAAAAAGGUCCUAUAGACAAGUUAUCUACAUGAAUGCAGUAACCUAUAUGCAUCCUGCCUAUGUGAAUGCAAGAAUAAGAAAAAUCCUAUAGCCAUGUUAUCUACCCUUUGCAUACAUUCAUCUGCAUCCCUUUCCACUAACCAUCCCCAUAGUUAAUACAAAUUAUUAUAGACCAAAAUGAACAAGAAAAAGUAAAAAUUACAUCAAAAAUUCAAGCUACACCCAAAUAGCCUAAUUCAGACUUAAGGUGUAACAAUAUGAGAUAAACUAACUUCCAGGAUCAGAUUUCCAAAAGCCUUUCUCUUAUUUGGGAUGUGUCAAAGUUCCUUGGAGUCUCAAAGUCUCUGGGCAGUGCUUACACCACAAAUACGUUGUAAAAUUAGAUCAUAAUGCAGUGCGGAAGGCCCAGCCCUCAAAUUUUCAAGUUCAUAAAGAACUCAAGGUCCCAAAGCAAGGCUCAUGAGAGGGGAGCAGAAAUUAGAGUCUAAGAGUAAGUAUAAGUGCAUAAAGAGGGAAUUAGGGAAAGCCAUGAUAAGAUGUGGUAAUGCCCAGCAAGUCGAAGUGCUGGCACACCCCUAACCAACCUGUUAGCCCAAUCUUAGGAGUUAGGAUCAAUUGUGGAUCAGGUUAUGACCUGGACAGUAAUUUGGAUACUACCAAGCCAAGAACCUUAACUCAAACACAUAGAGGGGAAUAUGUUAGGGAUUCACAAUUGCAACUGAUGCAAGGAAAGAACAUACAUAGUCUAAUUACUGAACAUCAGUAGCAAAGUAAACAAGAACGUUGAAACUAUGAAGUAAACACAUAGGGAUGAAGCAGAAAAGUAAAUCAGAACAUACCCGUUUCAGGGAAAAGCAAAGCGAAGUUGAAAGAAAAACAACUCCAAACGAUCUCAAGAAAAAAAAGGAUAUUGAAAGAGUAUGGAAUUCAAAGUGGUAAAGGUGUGGGAGUAUUGAAUUGGGAGUUAGGACGAUUGUCCUUGCGGUGUAUUUAAGAGUGCAGUAGGCAGUCCCUUUUAUAGUGCAGAAAACAAGUAAGAAACGUU